GUAUUUGUUCCUCCUGAUUUUGCAGUACAUAGUCUUCUUGGUUUGCUUCAAAAUAUGGAGUCCGUGCAAUACUUGAACCUGAAGCCACAAAAAGCAAGGAAAAAAAAAAAAAAAGAAAAAAAAGAAGGCAUUGAACGCUGAUUUACCUAAACUGAGGAAGAUCAACAAUGAAAGUAAUGCAGUAUGGAGGCGAACGCAGGACCAGAGAUUUGAUAUGAAAUGGGUUUCUGUAAAGAAGAAUGAGCCUUUUUGGCGGCAAGCAAUAUAUACAGGGAGGUGGGGCGACAGAAUCUAAGCUUUCUUGGAUCAUCAAGAGUGAGAAAGAAGGGGAGGAGAAUAUGAGGAAACUUGAGAGAGGAGGCAUUGUAUAUUUGAAUAGUUGGGAAGCGCAAGCAAGGGAAGGUUUAGAAAACGAAAAAAGGUAUAUGGAGAAGGAAAGGCCCGCUGUGAACUCUAUACUGAUUCUGCAGUUUCGUGUGGUGCCAUUUCCCUUCUCUUUAGAGCUUCAGCUUUAUGUUACUGAAUCAGAAAGUUAAAGGUGGUGUUGGGUUAUGGGUUAUGGGUUAUGGCCUAUGGGCGAUAGAUUUGUGUGCACAAGUUGCAUCUUGUAGUUUGUGAUCAAGAAUAUUGUCCCCUGGAGAAUCUGUUUAGGUACCGAAACAAGAAUCAAAUCCUUCUCUCGCUGCCUCCAUUUUCUGUUGUGGCAUUUGAUUCCUUCUUUUAGAAACAAGCCCACUUAUCCACUCAACUGCCAGAUACUACUGAUCCAAUAUUCUAACACAACACAACUGACAUCUCUCCGCAGACUUUCUGAGUGGUUCGUAUGAUCAUACUGCCGCAAACCACACACCCAGCUCUUAGCCCCCAAACUACUUCCCAUAUUUGGGGCCUUUUCUUACAAUUUUGGUUGUUUUUUUCUUGGUAUGAUAUCUCUGGUUUGGGUAUUGCUGUUGAGUUCAACGAUGGAGAGAUCGAAUUAUUGGUGUUUUAAAAUCAUUUGUGAAAUUGAAUGACUGAAUGUUGAAAGGUUAAUACUAUAUAUUUCAGAAAAGCUAAUGAAAUUGUAUCAACU
Molecule: long non-coding RNA, 1072 nt
Organism: Cucurbita maxima (winter squash)
Lineage: Eukaryota; Viridiplantae; Streptophyta; Magnoliopsida; Cucurbitales; Cucurbitaceae
Exons: 3
Source: RefSeq, a predicted model, not a curated record